GAGACACCCUUAUGAAGCAGGACUUGCUUCAGUAGGGCUUUAGUGCUCACUGCGUCCGCCCCUUGAGUGUGUCACU
RNAcentral lists this microRNA precursor (76 nucleotides) under Myotis lucifugus (little brown bat). RNAcentral describes it as "mir-9229 microRNA precursor family". It matches the Rfam family "mir-9229 microRNA precursor family". The record is from Rfam by way of RNAcentral. Lineage: Eukaryota; Metazoa; Chordata; Mammalia; Chiroptera; Vespertilionidae.